CUACGGGAGGCACCAGUGGGGAAUAUUGCACAAUGGGCGCAAGCCUGAUGCAGCCAUGCCGCGUGUAUGAAGAAGGCCUUCGGGUUGUAAAGUACUUUCAGCGGGGAGGAAGGGAGUAAAGUUAAUACCUUUGCUCAUUGACGUUACCCGCAGAAGAAGCACCGGCUAACUCCGUGCCAGCAGCCGCGGUAAUACGGAGGGUGCAAGCGUUAAUCGGAAUUACUGGGCGUAAAGCGCACGCAGGCGGUUUGUUAAGUCAGAUGUGAAAUCCCCGGGCUCAACCUGGGAACUGCAUCUGAUACUGGCAAGCUUGAGUCUCGUAGAGGGGGGUAGAAUUCCAGGUGUAGCGGUGAAAUGCGUGGAGAUCUGGAGGAAUACCGGUGGCGAAGGCGGCCCCCUGGACGAAGACUGACGCUCAGGUGCGAAAGCGUGGGGAGCAAACAGGAUUAGAUACCCCAGUAGUC
This 464-nucleotide ribosomal RNA is filed under the name uncultured bacterium. RNAcentral's name for it is "partial 16S ribosomal RNA". It matches the Rfam family "Bacterial small subunit ribosomal RNA", at positions 339 to 795 of the family's 1533-position model. The record is from RNAcentral.